GGUGUCCUCAAUAGGGACUUGAUGAACGGCUAAAUGAGGGCCUGCCUGUUUCCUGUAGCCCAUCAAUGAACCUAAUCUCUUAGUACAAAAGCUAAGAUAAACACAUAAGACGAGAAGACCCUGUGGAGCUUAAAGCAGUCUAAUACCCACAUAUUUAUGACACUUUUAGUUGGGGCGACUGUGGAACAAAACAAAACUUCCACGCACCAGAACACCCUUCGCACACAGGCACCCACGCCCCCGUGACUCCCCUCCGCUGACCCAGUCUAACUGACCAUCGAACCAAGUUACCCCAGGGAUAACAGCGCCAUCCUCUUCAAGAGCCCCUAUCGCCAAGAGGGUUUACGACCUCGAUGUUGGAUCAGGGCCCCCCAGUGGUGCAGCCGCUACUAACGGUUCGUUUGUUCAACGAUUAAUGCCCUACGU
RNAcentral lists this ribosomal RNA (426 nucleotides) under Lepidoblepharis sp. AB-2015. RNAcentral's name for it is "partial 16S ribosomal RNA". It matches the Rfam family "Bacterial large subunit ribosomal RNA", at positions 1968 to 2601 of the family's 2925-position model. The record is from RNAcentral. Lineage: Eukaryota; Metazoa; Chordata; Lepidosauria; Squamata; Sphaerodactylidae.